Long non-coding RNA from Lytechinus variegatus (green sea urchin), 816 nucleotides. RefSeq lists it as uncharacterized. The transcript is spliced from 3 exons. NCBI's taxonomy places the organism in Eukaryota, Metazoa, Echinodermata, Echinoidea, Temnopleuroida, Toxopneustidae. The record is from RefSeq and is a predicted model, not a curated record.
UCGCCGGCAGGAAUCUUCUUUCUUUUCUUGCCUUUUACCUCCCCAUUUUCACCCCUAUCUCCCUGGAUUAUAUAUAUAGUCGCCGCCUGGCAUGUGUUUGCAUCUAACGCAGAAGAAAGCUGUCUUCCUCAAGCACCCUGUCGGUCACUCCUUCAUCUCCGCUUUACACUUCUAAACUAGCUGUCAGCCCUCCGGCAGCUUGUUUGGAAUAGAGGGAUCGCCCCCGUUCCCAAGGAGGAUAUUCACGUCUGAUGCGCGAUGCCGAUAGAGAGAUCGGGGGCCUGGACUCAAGAGCGACAAGCGUUUGCCCCUGCUCUAAUCGCAGCCUCUCCGUCUGCCAUCCAUCCCUUUUGUCCGGAAUCCUUCCCCCCUCUUCUUCGCCCCCUAUCCAUCCCCUCUUGCUUACCCCCUAGACACAACACUCAACCUCCCCUCCGUCGUCACUGUCGACGAUCUUGUAUAUAUUCUUGGACCUGCCUGGCUCUUGUUCGGCUGUUGUCGAGCGCCUGUCGGGAUGGUCGUCGUGACGACAACCUUUUCUGUUGUUGCAACCAUCAUCAUCUUUUCCAUCGUUCUAUCCAUCUUGAUCUUUUCGUUCAUCCUCCUUUCCGGUCAUCAUGCGAGGGAGGCCCUCAACAUCAACUCUUUCAAGCUUCGGUCCUCCUCGGUGCAAGAUAACGGUGAAAAUCAGCCGUCAACGAGCGGUUUCCAUGGAAACAACAUAGCUUCCCCUCCCAAUCCAAAGGUGAGCGUAUUUAAGACAUUUCCACUAUCAAGAUAUUUGCCCAAUCAAGCGUUAUUGGCUACAUAGCAUCG